This 451-nucleotide ribosomal RNA is filed under the name uncultured bacterium. RNAcentral describes it as "SSU rRNA". It matches the Rfam family "Bacterial small subunit ribosomal RNA", at positions 26 to 518 of the family's 1533-position model. The record is from RNAcentral.
AGAACGAACGCUGGCGGCAGGCCUCAAACAUGCAAGUCUAGGGGGCGUAGCAAUACGUCACCGGCGGACGGGUGCGUAACACGUGGGAAUGUACUUACUGGUUCGGAACAACUCAGGGAAACUUGAGCUAAUACCGAAUGUGCCCGAAAGGGGAAAGAUUUAUCGCCAGUAAAUCAGCCCGCGUCCGAUUAGCUAGUUGGCGGGGUAAAGGCCCACCAAGGCGACGAUCGGUAGCUGUUCUGAGAGGAAGAUCAGCCACACUGGGACUGAGACACGGCCCAGACUCCUACGGGAGGCAGCAGUUGGGAAUCUUGGACAAUGGGGGAAACCCUGAUCCAGCCAUGCCGCGUGAGUGAUGAAGACCUUCGGGUUGUAAAGCUCUGUCGGAGGGGAAGAACACAAUGACGGUACCCUCCAAGAAAGCCCCGGCUAACUACGCGCCAGCAGCCGC